Molecule: ribosomal RNA, 419 nt
Filed under: uncultured soil bacterium
Lineage: Bacteria
Description: bacterial SSU rRNA
Rfam family: Bacterial small subunit ribosomal RNA
Source: RNAcentral
AGGACGAACGCUGGCGGCGUGCUUAACACAUGCAAGUCGAGCGGUAAGGCCCUUUCGGGGGUACACGAGCGGCGAACGGGUGAGUAACACGUGAGCAAUCUGCCCUUCACUUCGGGAUAAGCCUCGGAAACGGGGUCUAAUACCGGAUAUGACUGCGCCAUGCAUGUGGUGUGGUGGAAAGUUCUGGCGGUGAGGGAUGAGCUCGCGGCCUAUCAGCUUGUUGGUGGGGUAAUGGCAUACCAAGGCUUCGGACGGGUAGCCGGCUGAGAGGUGACCGGCCACGACUGGGACUGAGACACGGCCCAGACUCCGACGGGAGCAGUCAGGUGGGAAUAGUUGGACAAGUGGGACUAAAGCCUAGACUCCAUCGAACGCCGCGUAGGAGGAUCGGAACGGUCCGUUACGGGUUACGUUAAACC